AGGAGAGAGAGAGAGAGAUGUGAGGCCCUCAUAGCUGCUGCUGGAUAGGUUUCCCAUGACUUGUAGUUGGUGUUUUCUCGAGCCCUCUUUUGUUUGUUCCGCUGUUGCUGAUCCUUGUUGAGUCCUCUUUUCUUCUUCUUUUUAAGUGUUCUAAGUUCCUCACGCUGUCUGCACUUCAUUUCUUCCACUUCCUGUUCUCUCUCUCUCUCUCUCUGGUUUGAAGAUCUGUGAGGGUUUCAUGUGGUGAUAUUGGAGUGAUUCUUGAUUUCUCUGGUUUUGACUGGUUUCUAGGGUUUUCGUGUGAAGAGAGAGGGGAUUAGCGUAGAGGGAGUCUGGAGCUCCUUUAAGUCCAAUAGAGGUUCUUGGCUGGGUGAGUUGAGCUGCUGGUCUAUGGAUCCCACACUCCUAUCCCAUUAAAUCUGCUCAUUCUCGAAUGAAGAAGGAAGAAAAAGUUGGGAUAAGCUUGUGGCUUGCAUAUGCCAGGAGCUUCACUUGCCCCUUUGUCUGAAUCCUUUUUUGGAUUGAAGGGAGCUCUACACUUAUUUUUGUUUAUCUUCCCUCCCUCUCUCUACUUGCAUGAGAUGAUCGUGAUGACUUUUUUGCUUCAUGGUCUUCUGUUUUCUGGGUUUUCAUUUUGUUUUUGCAGUAGAUUUUCCUGACGUUUAUCAGAUCUGGUUCUUCAAACAGAGGAGAUCUAGUUGGGAAAUCUUUUUAGCUGCCCUCUUCUGUACUGGAGUUUACGAUUUUUUCUCUUUUGCCUUUUCUGGAUCUAGCCCAGUCAAAAAGCACUCAUGGGAGCUUUCAAGAUUGCUUCAUGUGAGGCGUGUCCUGAAUAUGACUGGGCAUGCUGCUUCUUCCUAGAUACUCUCGCAUGAUGCCUGUGUAACUGUUAACCGACUGUUCUUGUGUCCUGACCAAUAGGGGCUCCUUUUUUUUUUUUUUUUGGAACAAACGUUUCUCUGGAUCACGUUUCAGGGUCCAUAGAUCUACUGAACUCUCUCUCUCUCUCUCUCUCUCGGUUAGGUUAAUCUUACACUGUAGUUUCGAACCUGAAAGGCUUGCUAAGCUUUUGGCCUUGGAAGGACGCUGUUCUCUUGGAAACAAAAUGGGGUUCAUGCUUACGAAGACGACGCCGGUUUUUCUCCAGAUCUUGAUGUAGCCGUAGUUUCCUUUUUGGACCAGCAUCGAGGAUGGAAUUUUAUUUGUUCUUCUACAUGUCAUUGUCUCUUGCUGGGAAGUUGCUCAGUUUC
Long non-coding RNA from Rhodamnia argentea, 1250 nucleotides. RefSeq lists it as uncharacterized. Lineage: Eukaryota; Viridiplantae; Streptophyta; Magnoliopsida; Myrtales; Myrtaceae. The record is from RefSeq and is a predicted model, not a curated record. The transcript is spliced from 2 exons.